UCAGCCUGUGGUAAUCAAACUAUGGGGGCAAUUUUUGUUCUGGACUAAAGUGCCGCCAGUUUUGAGAGCUGCCGGUUGA
RNAcentral lists this microRNA precursor (79 nucleotides) under Cricetulus griseus (Chinese hamster). RNAcentral's name for it is "miRNA (ENSCGRG00000021122.1)". Lineage: Eukaryota; Metazoa; Chordata; Mammalia; Rodentia; Cricetidae. The record is from RNAcentral.